GUCCCUAUAGCUCAAUUGGAUAGAGCGCAACCCUGCGGAGGUUGAGGUUCCCCGUUCAAAUCGGGGUAGGGACGCCA
RNAcentral lists this transfer RNA (77 nucleotides) under bacterium. RNAcentral describes it as "tRNA-Arg". It matches the Rfam family "tRNA". Rfam says of the family: Transfer RNA (tRNA) molecules are approximately 80 nucleotides in length. Their secondary structure includes four short double-helical elements and three loops (D, anti-codon, and T loops). The record is from RNAcentral.